UUGCACUGCGCUCGGUCACGCUGGUGAACUCCAGGCCAAUUAUUCCAGUGUCACAUCACAUGAUAUAUCCAUGCAAGACUCUUCUGACCGUGGUAAGUGUGAGCUGCAUUCGUAUAGAAGUAUCCAUAUAUACAUGUGCAUAAUCCAGUGCUAGGAAUAUGUCUGCCCUUACAGAAACACCAUUCAUCUUAGCAAGCAUCUCACUCCUAAUUAAAUAAGCUAUACGGCUAGAGCAACCAUCUACUUGCAAUUUCCAAGCCACUCUUCAUAAAUACUACACCCCAUGGUAUAUGGCCAUGUCAAAAAGUGAAAUCAGAUGAAACUCAACAAUCAUAUGGUACAUGUCCAUGUCAAAAAGUGAUACCAGAUAAAACUCACCUACAUAUGAAAAAAUAAGCAUCAAAAUAUAAGAAAAAUGAAGUACCAGUGACAAUGAGAAUAGGGACUUAUCCAUACCACCAUCUUUGUCAAUAAGAACUUUUCUUUCCCUAAACUUCCUGAACCUUUAGCUUGUGUGGCUGCGAUAUUCUUGAAAUGCCAAAUUGUAUGAGAACAAUCACGAUUAUUUAUGUAAAAAGGAGAUAUCUGUAUAUUCUAAUCUGGAAGUGUUAUAUAUGAUAAUAGUGUAACAAAUACGCAUGUACAUGUACACCUAGUAAGUUUACGGUUUACAGGACACACAUCGACCAAAUAUACAGCAAAAGUUCACUUCUGAAUUUAGGCAAGCAACAUAAAGAACUCAUAUUAAGAUACAACCAACAAUCUGUGCACAUACAAGAAACAUAUGCAUGUCAAUUCCAGAUAUUUGAAUGAACCUAAGUAAAAUAUUACAUGACCUUUGAAUUUAUACUAUACAAUGCUUAGGCUGUAGCAUUACCUGUUCCAUUUCUGUCAAAAGAACAAUCUGAACUCGGCCUGCAGCUUUACACCAAAAAUAAGACCAAUAACUUGUAGGCAUCACACAAUGAACUUCGUAGCUACAACAGGAGGUUUGUGACCAAAUUAUGCACUUAAAUGAGCAGAAGCACACACAAAAAUUAAUUUGUGGUCAAUAUUCAACCUGGUAGCAGAUAUAUCAUCAAAAUUCUCAGGUAUAUCAUUACAGUACUUAAUCCCCAUCGACAAUAUAUCAAUUAGAUUUAUAUCUUCGAACCUGCAACAAAUCUAGAAAUUAAAGAACAUUGUUCAAAGAAGAUUUUAUAUAAGACAUGAAGAAUGUAAUAUUCUAACUAUAAAUACUCUCUGGCACACCAAAUAAGAUAGCCUUAUGCAGAACAUAUGAACGUGAUAGUAGUGUUCAAGAGAGAGGGAGAGAUCACUUUGUUCAAACUUUUCAUCAAGAUUCACCCUCUUCUCUUUUUCCUCAGGUCUGCAUAUGUGUGUUUAAAAAACCAUAAAUCAAGGAGGCUGCAUAUUGGCAACCUAGAUUGGGGACAGGUACCAUGGCCAGCACCGUCUGGAACUCCAGCCUCGCUGUUCCUUCCCUCACUGCCAUUCUCCUCAUCCUCCACACCCACCAAGAAGAUCAUGCCGCCCUGCUCGCCUAGAUCCAGAAGCACGGCACGCGGCAGCAGCAGAUAGAAGAUCAGUCGCAUGGGUGAGAAAGAACAGAGAUUGUGCCAAAUCCAAGCCGUCCACGGUAGCAGCACCGGCGCAAGAACGGCAGCGACGCGGGCGCAACAGGCGGCAAGUUCUCAACAAAGAAGAGCACAACC
This 1715-nucleotide long non-coding RNA is filed under the name Triticum aestivum (bread wheat). Its description in RNAcentral is "long non-coding RNA (TAES_LNC014535)". Lineage: Eukaryota; Viridiplantae; Streptophyta; Magnoliopsida; Poales; Poaceae. The record is from RNAcentral.